RNAcentral lists this microRNA precursor (103 nucleotides) under Marmota monax (woodchuck). The record is from RNAcentral. Lineage: Eukaryota; Metazoa; Chordata; Mammalia; Rodentia; Sciuridae.
AAUGGGAUAGCUGGGUCAAAUGGUGGUCCCAUUCCCAGUUUUCUGAGGAAUCUCCAUAUUGCUUUCCAGAGUGGUUGCACCAAUUUGCAGUCCCACCAGCAAU